RNAcentral lists this ribosomal RNA (963 nucleotides) under uncultured Streptomyces sp. Its description in RNAcentral is "bacterial SSU rRNA". It matches the Rfam family "Bacterial small subunit ribosomal RNA", at positions 187 to 1150 of the family's 1533-position model. The record is from RNAcentral. Lineage: Bacteria; Bacillati; Actinomycetota; Actinomycetes; Kitasatosporales; Streptomycetaceae.
CGCAUGUCUGGGGGUGGAAAGCUCCGGCGGUGCAGGAUGAGCCCGCGGCCUAUCAGCUUGUUGGUGGGGUGAUGGCCUACCAAGGCGACGACGGGUAGCCGGCCUGAGAGGGCGACCGGCCACACUGGGACUGNGACACGGCCCAGACUCCUACGGGAGGCAGCAGUGGGGAAUAUUGCACAAUGGGCGCAAGCCUGAUGCAGCGACGCCGCGUGAGGGAUGACGGCCUUCGGGUUGUAAACCUCUUUCAGCAGGGAAGAAGCUCCUUGGGGUGACGGUACCUGCAGAAGAAGCGCCGGCUAACUACGUGCCAGCAGCCGCGGUAAUACGUAGGGCGCAAACGUUGUCCGGAAUUAUUGGGCGUAAAGAGCUCGUAGGCGGCUUGUCGCGUCGGAUGUGAAAGCCCGGGGCUUAACCCCGGGUCUGCAUUCGAUACGGGCAGGCUGGAGUUCGGUAGGGGAGAUCGGAAUUCCUGGUGUAGCGGUGGAAUGCGCAGAUAUCAGGAGGAACACCGGUGGCGAAGGCGGAUCUCUGGGCCGAUACUGACGCUGAGGAGCGGAAGCGUGGGGAGCGAACAGGAUUAGAUACUCUGGUAGUCCACGCCGUAAACGGUGGGCACUAGGUGUGGGCGGCAUUCCACGUCGUCCGUGCCGUAGCUAACGCAUUANGUGCCCCGCCUGGGGAGUACGGCCGCAAGGCUAAAACUCAAAGGAAUUGACGNGGGCCCGCACAAGCGGCGGAGCAUGUGGCNUAAUUCGACGCAACGCGAAGAACCUUACCAAGGCUUGACAUACACCGGAAAACCGUGGAGACACGGUCCCCCUUGUGGUCGGUGUACAGGUGGUGCAUGGCUGUCGUCAGCUCGUGUCGUGAGAUGUUGGGUUAAGUCCCGCAACGAGCGCAACCCUUGUCCUGUGUUGCCAGCACGCUCCCUUUGGGGGUGGUGGGGACUCACGGGAGACU